GGGUUGUGAGAUUGAGCCCCACAUUGGGAAGGGAGGAGUUGGGGUUGUGCAGAGAGUUGGGGUUGUGUACGCUGGGUGUGGAGCCUACUUAAGAUUCUCUCCCUUUGCUCCCUGCCCCCCUCCCACCGAAAAAAUGGGUUUAUCAUUCAGGACACUUAGAAAUCCAGGAUGGAGAAAAUCAGGAGUAACUGAGAUUGGUUGAAUGGACAUGGUGUCUCAUUUGAGAGAAUGAUAAAGAUUCUCAUUGUAUAAAUUGGGGCUAUAUUGUAUUUGGCUAUAGAUAAUACAACACUCAACUGAUAAUAAGGUGGUUUACUAUUCCUCUGUUCCUUAAAAAUACAAGUAUUUUAUUGAAUUGAAUGUAAGGGAACACCAGAGUAGGCAAGGGCAUAUUAUUAUAUGGUGGAUGUGCAGCUAGACAGAAAUUCCUACACCACCAUGGGUAACAGACUUCUGUCCUCUUCCCUCCACCUCAGACUGGAUUUUGGUAUAGUUUGGUUUUGGUUGAUGUCUGAUUUCAAAUGAGGGAAGUGGGACGUUAGUAGCUGAAGGCAAGCCAGCCAUCCAGUCCGUCCAUCUCAUGUAGGUGCCCUUGAAGGAGUCUGUCCUCUCGUCAGAAACAUGGUGGCAUGAGGCACCUGGGUGGCUCAGUGGUUAAGCAUCUGCCUUUGGCUCAGGGUGUGAUCCCAGGGUCCUAUGAUCGAGUCCUUCAUCAGGCUCCCUGCAGGGAGCCUGCUUCUCCUCUGCCUAUGUUUCUGCCUCUCUUUCUCUGUGCCUCUCAUGAAUAAAUACAUAAAAUCUUAAAAAAAAGAAACAUCGUGUCAAAAACAUAUCUGGGAGUGCUGAUUUUAAUUAGCGAGAGAUGGGCCUGUGCCCCGGUUUUCCAUUUGGUCCUGCCUUCCUUCAAAAAAGGAUUCCUUUCAUGUGAUUUCCCAAGAUGUGUGUCCACAUAUGCCUCAGUCAUCAACGUGCCUCAGUUUCCAGAUUUGCACACUGGAUUCUUCUUCACCAAAUGGAAGAUAAAAAUAUUUACACAUGUCCCUGAGAAAGAAACUUGCAGCCAGUCCUCUCUCAUUUUUUUCAUGCUUUAGAAAAAUAUUUAAUAUCAUGAAAAAUAUUUAUGAUAGAUCAAGCGAAAGAGGAAUACAGAAUAUGUAUAAUGCAAUUCCAAAUUCUAAAAUGGAGGAAAAUCAACUAGAAUGUUAACAAUUAUAACCUUUGACUAUGGGAUGAAGGGAGACUUUCAGUUUCUCAUUUAUACUACACCUUAUUUCCAGUACUUUGUAGGGCUUUCAUUUAAGACCAGAGGCUUAGGAUUGUGUCUUAGUUCUAUCACUUAUUCGGAUGAGUUAAAUAACCUUCCAGAGCCUCUUUUCCUUGCAUGUAAAAUCCAGCACUCUUUUGAUUCACUCUUGCCCCAGUGUAGCAGCGCAUACCUGCCUUGGACUUCUGUGCAUUUUUCUAGGUUCUGCAGAACAUCCAUUCUGACAUAAAGGCAUUCUUGGGAUUCUUGGCUGCCUGAUAGAGAAGAUAUGAAGAUUCUGCGAACUCUAGUCUCAGCAGGUAGAAGGGAACAUCAGAGAUCCGGAGACACCGCUUAACCCUCUUAGAAAGGGCUCUGUAUCUUUUCUUUAUAGCAUAGUAGAGUGUGGAGGCAGAUGGCAACUUUUACUAGAACCUCAGUCCAGAGAAGCAGCCUUCAGAGAGUCAACCCAGGAUACUGAUCAGCUGCCUACUGAACAUGUUCACUUUGACAAAGAGAAGAGCCUUUCCUUUGUUUUGGGGCUCCUGACCUCUCCUCAAGUAAUUCUGAGUGCUCUGAUAUAUAGUUGGCAUAGUCUGCUCAGGCUGCCAUAACAAAAUAUCAUAAGUUGGUGGCUUAAACAAUAGAAAUUUAUUUUUGUACAGUUUUGGGGGCUGGGAAUCCCAGGUCAAAAUAUGAGUCUAGGGGCGCCUGGGUGUCUCUGUUGGUAAAGCAUCUGCCUUUAGCUCUGGUCAUGGUCUUGGUCCUGGGAUCCAGUUCUGAGUCAGGCUCCCUGCUUGCCAGGAAGUAUACUUCUCUCUCUCCUUCUCCUCCCCCCACCCCCAGCAUUACUUGUGAGCUCUCUCUCUUUCUCUCUCAAAUAGAUAAAGAAAACAAUCUUCCAAAAGAACCACCUCAAAUUACCAGUCUAUUCAGUUCUGGGUGAGAGCUCUCUUCUGGCUUGUAGAUGGCCAACUUCACACUGUGUUCUCACAUGGCAAAGGGAGGGAGGGAGAUGGAGAAAGAGAGAGAGAGAGAGAGAUAGAGAGAGAGAGACUGACUUAUGUUUUUUCUUAUAGGGCCAUGGUCCUGUCAGAUCCAGGCUUUGCCCUUAUGACUUCAUUUAACCUUGAUGAAUUCCGUAAAGGCCCUAUCUCUAAAUACAAUUACAUUGAUGGUUAAGACUUCAAUGUAUGCAUUUGAAGAGCACAUAAUUCAUAGCAGUAGCACUAAACAUUUGUAGGUCUUCUUCAAAGAGAAAAAUUUCCGCCCCAGCAUCCAAGUCCCUAUGCUUUCCAACCCAGGGGCCCAACUGAGUGUUCACAGUCCUUGAUAAUCCCAUGCAGAAGUUUCAAUGGGCUUUCAGUACCCAUUUGGCCACCAUGGCCACCAUGUCUAAUGUAGACACCUCUAGUCAUCAGCUAAGAAUCCCGAAUUCUACCAAGGAGCCAGCUACCACUGUGCCUUACAGCUGUCAUUAGAUCAGAAAAUACAGACAGGACUUCUGUCUUAAUGUUUUCAAGAGGAGGGAGGGGCCACAUGGCCAGAUCAUAAGCCAUGUGUAAUUAUUUUGUUAUUAUGGUGAUCUCUGGGUGGCUCAGUGGUUUAACACCUACCUUUGGCCCAGGGCAUGAUCCUGGAGGAGCCCGAUGUGGGACUCGAUCACGGGAUUCCAGGAUCAUGCCCUGAGCCAAAGGCAGAUGCUUAACUGCUGAGCUACCUGUGUGUCCCCUUGGAUUAAUUUCCUAUCAUUGCAGUAUAUUCAGUGCAUGGACAAGAGCCAAAGAAAAGCUUCCUAGGACAUCACUGAUGUUCAGACUUGAAUCUUCCACUCUCCUACUUCAGGCCAUUGCAGUGGGUUGAGAUCAUCUUCUAUAACCUUGUGGCUGAGGUGCUUUGAGAGCAGCUGAACCCCUCUCCCUCUUCCGUUUACCUGGGAGCCCCCCGGGUAGGCAGUGAGUGAGGGGAAGGUGCUCAAAAAGCACAUGUUGAAUCCCAAACCAAAAGUGAGCCACAAUAUCCAUGGAGGCUGAGCUUCACAAACACCAGUCCUGGGAUGAACAAUUGUCAACAUGUGGUGGCUUGAGCUCUGUAACAUUUAUUCUAAACAAAGGGGUUCUCCCCUCUUUGACCAUCACACCUCCAGCGUAUCCUGUAAAUAUAAAAAUUACUCCAAACCACUGCAAAGCCCUGGUUGUUCCUCUUUAAUAAUCUCCCCUGUGGGGCAGCCCGGGUGGCUCAGCGGUUUAGCACCGCCUUUGGCCCAGGGUGUGAUCCUAGAGACCCGGGAUCGAGUCCCACGUCAGGCUCCCUGCAUGGAGCCUGCUUCUCCCUCUGCCCGUGUCUCUGCCUCUCUCUCUCUCUCUCUGUGUCUCUCAUGAAUAAA
Molecule: long non-coding RNA, 3629 nt
Filed under: Canis lupus familiaris (dog)
Lineage: Eukaryota; Metazoa; Chordata; Mammalia; Carnivora; Canidae
Description: lncRNA (ENSCAFG00000053813.1)
Source: RNAcentral